Molecule: ribosomal RNA, 689 nt
Filed under: uncultured bacterium
Lineage: Bacteria
Description: bacterial SSU rRNA
Rfam family: Bacterial small subunit ribosomal RNA
Source: RNAcentral
ACGGGUGAGUAACGCGUAAGGAACUUACCUGCGGGACUGGGAUAACGGAGGGAAACUUCUGACAAGACCGGAUAAAGUUACCGGGCAGCAUUGUAUGGUAAUGAAAGGGAACGCCUGCGGAGAGUCUUGCGUCCUAUUAGCUAGUUGGUUGGGUAAAGGCUGACCAAGGCGAAGAUAGGUAGCCGGCCUGAGAGGGUGGACGGCCACAAGGGGACUGAGAUACGGCCCUUACUCCUACGGGAGGCAGCAGUGGGGAAUAUUGGACAAUGGGGGCAACCCUGAUCCAGCAAUUCUGUGUGCACGAAGAAGGUUUUCGGAUUGUAAAGUGCUUUCAGCAGGGAAGAAGGAAGUGACGGUACCUGCAGAAGAAGCGACGGCUAAAUACGUGCCAGCAGCCGCGGUAAUACGUAUGUCGCGAGCGUUAUCCGGAAUUAUUGGGCAUAAAGGGCAUCUAGGCGGCCUGACAAGUCAGGGGUGAAAACCUGCGGCUCAACCGCAGGCCUGCCUUUGAAACUGUAAGGCUGGAGUACCGGAGAGGUGGACGGAACUGCACGAGUAGAGGUGAAAUUCGUAGAUAUGUGCAGGAAUGCCGAUGAUGAAGAUAGUCCACUGGACGGAAACUGACGCUGAAGUGCGAAAGCCGGGGGAGCGAACAGGAUUAGAUACCCUGGUAGUCCCGGCCGUAAACG